This 499-nucleotide ribosomal RNA is filed under the name uncultured bacterium. Its description in RNAcentral is "partial 16S ribosomal RNA". It matches the Rfam family "Bacterial small subunit ribosomal RNA", at positions 28 to 507 of the family's 1533-position model. The record is from RNAcentral.
GAUGAACGCUGGCGGCGUGCCUAAUACAUGCAAGUCGAGCGAACAGACGAGAGUGCUUGCACUCUCUGACGUUAGCGGCGGACGGGUGAGUAACACGUGGGUAACCUACCUAUAAGACUGGGAUAACUUCGGGAAACCGGAGCUAAUACCGGAUAAUAUUUAGCUUCGCAUGAAGCAAUAGUGAAAGACGGUUCUGCUGUCACUUAUAGAUGGACCCGCGGUGUAUUAGCUAGUUGGUGAGGUAACGGCUCACCAAGGCAAAGAUACAUAGCCGACCUGAGAGGGUGAUCGGCCACACUGGGACUGAGACACGGCCCAGACUCCUACGGGAGGCAGCAGUAGGGAAUCUUCCGCAAUGGACGGAAGUCUGACGGAACAAUGCCGCGUGAGUGAAGAAGGUUUUCGGAUCGUAAAACUCUGUUGUAAGGGAAGAACAAGUACGUUAGUAACUGAACGUACCUUGACGGUACCUGACCAGAAAGCCACGGCUAACUACGUG